AGGGAUCAUUACAGAGUUGCAAAACUCCCAGACCACUGUGAACUUUACCAGCCGUUGCUUCGGCGGGCCGGCCCUACGGCCGCGCGAGCCCCUCCGGGGCGCCCGCCGGAGGUACCCAAACCAAUGACGUUUUGCAUGGCCUCUCUGAGCAACUGUACUAAAGUCAAAACUUUCAGCAACGGAUCUCUUGGUUCUGGCACCGAUGAAGAACGCAGCGAAAUGCGAUAAGUAAUGUGAAUUGCAGAAUUCAGUGAACCAUCGAAUCUUUGAACGCACAUUGCGCCCGCCAGCAUCCUGGCGGGCAUGCCUGUUCGAGCGUCAUUUCGACCAUCAAGCCGGAGGCUUGUGUUGGGGACCUGCGGCUGCCCGCAGGCCCUGAAAACCAGUGGCGGGGCCCGCUGGCACUCCGAGCGCAGUAUUCACCUGCCUCGCUCAGGGCGUGCCGCGGGUUUGUUCCCAGCCGUCAAACCGCAAUAUUCGCAAGGUUGACCUCGGAUCAGGUAGGAGGACCCGCUGAACUUAAGCAUAUCAAUAAGCGGAGGAAAAGAAACCAACAGGGAUUGCCCUAGUAACGGCGAGUGAAGCGGCAACAGCUCAAAUUUGAAAUCUGGCUCCGGCCCGAGUUGUAAUUUGCAGAGGAAGCUUCUGGCGCGGCACCUUCCGAGUCCCCUGGAACGGGGCGCCACAGAGGGUGAGAGCCCCGUAUGGUUGGACGCCUAGCCUGUGUGAAGCUCCUUCGACGAGUCGAGUAGUUUGGGAAUGCUGCUCAAAAUGGGAGGUAAAUUCCUCCUAAAGCUAAAUACCGGCCAGAGACCGAUAGCGCACAAGUAGAGUGAUCGAAAGAUGAAAAGCACUUUGAAAAGAGGGUUAAACAGCACGUGAAAUUGUUGAAAGGGAAGCGCCUGUGACCAGACUUGCGCCGGGCUGAUCAUCCGGUGUUCUCACCGGUGCACUCGGCCCGGCUCAGGCCAGCAUCGGUUCUCGCGGGGGGAUAAAGGCCCUGGGAACGUAGCUCCUCCGGGAGUGUUAUAGCCUGGGGCGUAAUGCCCUUGCGGGGACCGAGGUUCGCGCUCCGCAAGGAUGCUGGCGUAAUGGUCACCAGCGACC
RNAcentral lists this ribosomal RNA (1107 nucleotides) under uncultured Sordariomycetes. RNAcentral describes it as "eukaryotic LSU rRNA". The stretch from base 487 to 1107 matches the Rfam family "Eukaryotic large subunit ribosomal RNA", at positions 1 to 649 of the family's 3401-position model. Lineage: Eukaryota; Fungi; Ascomycota; Sordariomycetes. The record is from RNAcentral.